This 253-nucleotide ribosomal RNA is filed under the name uncultured bacterium. RNAcentral's name for it is "partial 16S ribosomal RNA". It matches the Rfam family "Bacterial small subunit ribosomal RNA", at positions 524 to 776 of the family's 1533-position model. The record is from RNAcentral.
UACGUAGGGUGCAAGCGUUGUCCGGAAUCAUUGGGCUUAAAGCGCGCGUAGGUGGUCAUGUAAGUCCGCUGUGAAAGUCAAAGGCUCAACCUUUGAAAGCCGGUGGAUACUGCAUGACUAGAGUACGGAAGAGGCGAGCGGAAUUCCUGGUGUAGCGGUAGAAUGCGCAGAUAUCAGGAGGAACACCAAUAGCGAAGGCAGCUCGCUGGGACGUUACUGACACUGAGGCGCGAAAGCGUGGGGAGCGAACAGG